Molecule: ribosomal RNA, 307 nt
Filed under: uncultured bacterium
Lineage: Bacteria
Description: bacterial SSU rRNA
Rfam family: Bacterial small subunit ribosomal RNA
Source: RNAcentral
AGCGAACGUUAGCGGCGGGCCUAACACAUGCAAGUCGAACGCGAAAGGGAUUCGUCCCCAGUAGCGUGGCGUCCGGGUGAGUAACACGUAGGAAAUCUUCCCUCGAGCGGGGGAUAACGUCCCGAAGGGACGCUAAUACCGCAUAAGCCCACGUCCACCUCGGUGGAUGAGGGAAAAGCUUGGCCACUGUAUACAUGCUAGCACUUGAGGAUGAUCCUGCGGCGCAUCAGCUAGUUGGUGAGGUAAUGGCUCACCAAGGCUUAGACGCGUAGCUGGUCUGAGAGGAUGAUCAGCCACACUGGCACUG